ACCCGCUGAACUUAAGCAUAUCAAUAAGCGGAGGAAAAGAAACCAACAGGGAUUGCCCCAGUAACGGCGAGUGAAGCGGCAACAGCUCAAAUUUGAAAUCUGGUCCCCUUGCGGGGCCCGAGUUGUAAUUUGAAGAGGAUGCUUCUGGCAAGGUGCCUUCCGAGUUCCCUGGAACGGGACGCCGCAGAGGGUGAGAGCCCCGUACGGUAGGACGCCGAGCCUCUGUGAAGCUCCUUCGACGAGUCGAGUAGUUUGGGAAUGCUGCUCAAAAUGGGAGGUAAACCCCUUCUAAAGCUAAAUACCGGCCAGAGACCGAUAGCGCACAAGUAGAGUGAUCGAAAGAUGAAAAGCACUUUGAAAAGAGAGUUAAAAAGCACGUGAAAUUGUUGAAAGGGAAGCGCUUGCGACCAGACUCGCGCCCGUCGGAUCAGCCGUCGCUUGUCGGCGGCGCACUCCGGCGGGCUCGGGCCAGCAUCAGUUCGCCUCGGGGGGAGAAAGGCGGCAGGAAUGUGGCUCCUCGGAGUGUUAUAGCCUGCCGUGUAAUACCCCCGGGCGGACUGAGGACCGCGCGUAUGCAAGGAUGCUGGCGUAAUGGUCGUCAGCGACCCGUCUUGAAACACGGACCAAGGAGUCGUCCUAAUAUGCGAGUGUACGGGUGUCAAACCCCUGCGCGUAAUGAAAGUGAACGGAGGUGAGAGCUUCGGCGCAUCAUCGACCGAUCCUGAUGUUCUCGGAUGGAUUUGAGUAAGAGCAUAUUGGGCCGGACCCGAAAGAAGGUGAACUAUGCCUGUGUAGGGUAAAGCCAGAGGAAACUCUGGUGGAGGCUCGCAGCGGUUCUGACGUGCAAAUCGAUCGUCAAACAUGGGCAUGGGGGCGAAAGACUAAUCGAACCUUCUAGUAGCUGGUUUCUGCCGAGUUYYCC
This 922-nucleotide small RNA is filed under the name Scopulariopsis brumptii. RNAcentral describes it as "eukaryotic LSU rRNA". It matches the Rfam family "Eukaryotic large subunit ribosomal RNA", at positions 23 to 971 of the family's 3401-position model. The record is from RNAcentral. Lineage: Eukaryota; Fungi; Ascomycota; Sordariomycetes; Microascales; Microascaceae.